CUUAGUGGCCAUAGCGCGGUGGUCCCACCUGAUCCCAUGCCGAACUCAGAAGUGAAACGCCGUAGCGCCGAUG
Molecule: ribosomal RNA, 73 nt
Filed under: Proteus mirabilis
Lineage: Bacteria; Pseudomonadati; Pseudomonadota; Gammaproteobacteria; Enterobacterales; Morganellaceae
Source: RNAcentral